Molecule: long non-coding RNA, 356 nt
Organism: Brassica oleracea var. oleracea
Lineage: Eukaryota; Viridiplantae; Streptophyta; Magnoliopsida; Brassicales; Brassicaceae
Exons: 3
Source: RefSeq, a predicted model, not a curated record
CGGCUAAAGCGUGCAAUGUUUUUAAUGAGAUAUUGAAAACUCUUAAAAACCUAUGGUCAUGCUUCCACGAGGUUAAUAUGCAAAGGGUUGCUCCAAAGAGUUACCAGCAAGCUGCUGGAGUAGUCUUCGUCACACGAAAGUUUUAGCUAACUUUUGCAUCGAUCAGGACCCGGGAAUCAACUUGGGCAGCAAAGUCAUGGCUUCUGGGCCAAGUCAGGGCUCUGUAGUAAUACACUCAAAAAUUGUUUCAACCAGUUAAAUGUUUACGAGGACAUGUUUUACAAGUUUGCAUAGUGCAUCAUCACAACUGCUCCUUGAUUCAACCCUCUAUCUCAGUGUGUCUGAAUUUUGAAACC